UACGUAGGGCGCAAGCGUUAUCCGGAAUUAUUGGGCGUAAAGAGCUCGUAGGCGGUUUGUCGCGUCUGCUGUGAAAACCUAAGGCUCAACCUUGGGCUUGCAGUGGGUACGGGCAGACUAGAGUGCGGUAGGGGUGACUGGAAUUCCUGGUGUAGCGGUGAAAUGCGCAGAUAUCAGGAGGAACACCGGUGGCGAAGGCGGAUCUCUGGGCCGUAACUGACGCUGAGGAGCGAAAGCAUGGGGGAGCGAGCAGG
Molecule: ribosomal RNA, 254 nt
Filed under: uncultured bacterium
Lineage: Bacteria
Description: partial 16S ribosomal RNA
Rfam family: Bacterial small subunit ribosomal RNA
Source: RNAcentral